CCUACGGGAGGCAGCAGUGAGGAAUAUUGGUCAAUGGGCGGAAGCCUGAACCAGCCAUGCCGCGUGCAGGAUGACGGCCCUACGGGUUGUAAACUGCUUUUGCACGGGAAGAAUAACCCCCUCGUGAGGGGGGAUGCCGGUACCGUGCGAAUAAGGAUCGGCUAACUCCGUGCCAGCAGCCGCGGUAAUACGGAGGAUCCGAGCGUUAUCCGGAUUUACUGGGUUUAAAGGGUGCGUAGGCGGGCGCCUAAGUCAGCGGUGAAAGGCAGCGGCUCAACCGUUGAACUGCCGUUGAAACUGGGCGCCUUGGAUUCGGUCGGGGCCGGCGGAAUGCGUGGUGUAGCGGUGAAAUGCUUAGAUAUCACGCGGAACGCCGAUCGCGAAGGCAGCUGGCCAGGCCGAGAUCGACGCUGAGGCACGAAAGCGUGGGGAUCAAACA
This 439-nucleotide ribosomal RNA is filed under the name uncultured Bacteroidota bacterium. Its description in RNAcentral is "bacterial SSU rRNA". It matches the Rfam family "Bacterial small subunit ribosomal RNA", at positions 338 to 774 of the family's 1533-position model. The record is from RNAcentral. Lineage: Bacteria; Pseudomonadati; Bacteroidota.